UGGGGGAUAUUGCACAAUGGGCGAAAGCCUGAUGCAGCGACGCCGCGUGGGGGAUGAAGGCCUUCGGGUUGUAAACUUCUUUUGCUCUGAACAAGGCAUGCCUUUGGGGUGUGUUGAGUGUAGGGGUUGAUUAGCGCCGGCUAACUACGUGCCAGCAGCCGCGGUAAUACGUAGGGCGCGAGCGUUGUCCGGAAUUAUUGGGCGUAAAGGGCUUGUAGGUGGCUGGUUGCGUCUGUCGUGAAAGCUCAUGGCUUAACUGUGGGUUUGCGGUGGGUACGGGCUGGCUUGAGUGCAGUAGGGGAGGCUGGAAUUCCUGGUGUAGCGGUGGAAUGCGCAGAUAUCAGGAGGAAUACCGGUGGCGAAAGCGGGUCUCUGGGCUGUUACUGACGCUGAGGAGCGAAAGCGUGGGGAGCGAACAGG
Molecule: ribosomal RNA, 420 nt
Filed under: Fusobacteriota bacterium
Lineage: Bacteria; Fusobacteriati; Fusobacteriota
Description: Fusobacteria bacterium partial 16S ribosomal RNA
Rfam family: Bacterial small subunit ribosomal RNA
Source: RNAcentral